UACGUAGGGGGCAAGCGUUAUCCGGAUUUACUGGGUGUAAAGGGAGCGUAGACGGUAAUGCAAGUCUGGAGUGAAAACCCGGGGCUCAACCCCGGGACUGCUUUGGAAACUGUAUAACUGGAGUGCCGGAGAGGUAAGCGGAAUUCCUAGUGUAGCGGUGAAAUGCGUAGAUAUUAGGAGGAACACCAGUGGCGAAGGCGGCUUACUGGACAGUAACUGACGUUGAGGCUCGAAAGUGCGGGUAUCAAACAGG
This 253-nucleotide ribosomal RNA is filed under the name uncultured bacterium. RNAcentral's name for it is "partial 16S ribosomal RNA". It matches the Rfam family "Bacterial small subunit ribosomal RNA", at positions 524 to 776 of the family's 1533-position model. The record is from RNAcentral.